RNAcentral lists this ribosomal RNA (914 nucleotides) under uncultured marine archaeon. RNAcentral's name for it is "bacterial SSU rRNA". It matches the Rfam family "Archaeal small subunit ribosomal RNA", at positions 1 to 922 of the family's 1478-position model. The record is from RNAcentral. RNAcentral also lists the same sequence under 1 other name.
UUCCGGUUGAUCCUGCCGGACCUGACUGCUAUCGGAUUGAUACUAAGCCAUGCUAGUCUUUGUAGUAAUACAAGGCAUACGGCUCAGUAACGCGUAGUCAACCUACCCUAUGGACGGGGAUAAUCUCGGGAAACUGAGCAUAAUACCCGGUAGACCACUUAUCCUGGAAUGGUUAGUGGUUAAAAUGAUUCGUCGCCAUAGGAUGGGACUGCGGCCUAUCAGCUUGUUGGUGAGGUAAUGGCCCACCAAGGCGAUUACAGGUACGGGCUCUGAGAGGAGAAGCCCGGAGAUGGGUACUGAGACAAGGACCCAGGCCCUAUGGGGCGCAGCAGGCGAGAAAACUUUGCAAUGUGCGAAAGCACGACAAGGUUAAUCCGAGUGAUUUCUGCUAAAGGAAUCUUUUGUUAGUUCUAAAAAUACUAGUGAAUAAGGGGUGGGCAAGUUCUGGUGUCAGCCGCCGCGGUAAAACCAGCACCUCAAGUGGUCAGGAGGAUUAUUGGGCCUAAAGCAUCCGUAGCCUGUUCUAUAAGUUUGCGGUUAAAUCUAUACGCUCAACGUAUAGGCUGCCGUAAAUACUGUAGAACUAGGGAGUGGGAGAGGUAGACGGUACUCGAUAGGAAGGGGUAAAAUCCUUUGAUCUAUUGAUGACCACCUGUGGCGAAGGCGGUCUACCAGAACACGUUCGACGGUGAGGGAUGAAAGCUGGGGGAGCAAACCGGAUUAGAUACCCGGGUAGUCCCAGCUGUAAACGAUGCAGACUCGAUGAUGCAAUGGCAUAGAGCUAUUGCAGUAUCGCAGGGAAGCCGUUAAGUCUGCCGCCUGGGAAGUACGUACGCAAGUAUGAAACUUAAAGGAAUUGGCGGGGGAGCACCACAAGGGGUGAAGCCUGCGGUUCAAUUGGAGUCAACGCCGGG